RNAcentral lists this transfer RNA (89 nucleotides) under Treponema pallidum subsp. pallidum str. Chicago. RNAcentral's name for it is "tRNA-Leu". It matches the Rfam family "tRNA". Rfam says of the family: Transfer RNA (tRNA) molecules are approximately 80 nucleotides in length. Their secondary structure includes four short double-helical elements and three loops (D, anti-codon, and T loops). The record is from RNAcentral. Lineage: Bacteria; Pseudomonadati; Spirochaetota; Spirochaetia; Treponematales; Treponemataceae.
UGCCUCGAUGGUGGAAUUGGCAGACACGCUAGCUUCAGGUGCUAGUGCCUUCACCGGCGUGGGAGUUCAAGUCUCCCUCGAGGCACUUG